RNAcentral lists this transfer RNA (87 nucleotides) under Thermogemmatispora aurantia. RNAcentral's name for it is "tRNA-Leu". It matches the Rfam family "tRNA". From Rfam's summary of the family: Transfer RNA (tRNA) molecules are approximately 80 nucleotides in length. Their secondary structure includes four short double-helical elements and three loops (D, anti-codon, and T loops). Lineage: Bacteria; Bacillati; Chloroflexota; Ktedonobacteria; Thermogemmatisporales; Thermogemmatisporaceae. The record is from RNAcentral.
GGGGCGAUGGCGAAAUGGUAGACGCAGGGGACUUAAAAUCCCCUGGGGUGAGACCCCCGUGUGGGUUCGAGUCCCACUCGCCCCACC